AUGACCUCGAACGGUGCUUUGCCCGAUCUAACGAAAGCUCAAUUAGGAGAAUCCUGACCCAUUUUCUCAUUGUCUAUGGGCCACUCCUUGACCGAUAAGUCCAUUGCAAGAAUAUAGAAAGCACAAGGGGAAAAGGGAAGAAUGGUCCCGAGAAGGCCAAAGGAAAGCUACGGAGGCAAAGAAUCUACCAAUGACCCAUGAAGAUGAAGGGUCUACGAUAAGACGGUGAGACUCCAAUAGAUGC
This 244-nucleotide long non-coding RNA is filed under the name Elaeis guineensis (African oil palm). RNAcentral's name for it is "long non-coding RNA (EGUI_LNC026438)". The record is from RNAcentral. Lineage: Eukaryota; Viridiplantae; Streptophyta; Magnoliopsida; Arecales; Arecaceae.